AAGGAAUUGCAGGACCCAGAGAUUUUCAUGAAAGUGAAAUUGCUCAUAGGAAAUCAAAGCAAAUGGCCUUAAGAGUGGCAUCCAGUGGACCGUCCUCUGAAAAGUGACCCACAAUUCUGCAUGAAUCUUUCCAGGACACUGAAUUGGAGCCAGCUGAUAUGAAGAAACUGAGACCCCAAGAAUUUAAGUAAUUUGUUCAAGGCAACACACUGCUAUGUGGUAGAACUACAAAUUGAGCCCAAAUAAUCCAGCUUCAGAUACUAUGCAAAGGUAUCCUAGGUGUGGGGGUGAUAACCUGGUGACAAUCCCUUCUCAGAAGGAAAACAGGUCCCAUCUACAGAGGUGAAGCAGAGUGUGGAACUGAAAAACUCAAUGGAAGAAUGGCUAUUAAGAUUUAGGACGGCUGGGAAAUAAUAAAGUAAUAAUAAUAAUACUAGGUAUUGACGUGUGCUACAUGCCAGG
Molecule: long non-coding RNA, 462 nt
Filed under: Homo sapiens (human)
Lineage: Eukaryota; Metazoa; Chordata; Mammalia; Primates; Hominidae
Description: non-protein coding GAS1RR:9
Source: RNAcentral